RNAcentral lists this ribosomal RNA (274 nucleotides) under uncultured bacterium. Its description in RNAcentral is "partial 16S ribosomal RNA". It matches the Rfam family "Bacterial small subunit ribosomal RNA", at positions 523 to 796 of the family's 1533-position model. The record is from RNAcentral.
AUACGGAGGGGGCUAGCGUUGUUCGGAAUUACUGGGCGUAAAGCGUACGUAGGCGGACUGAUCAGUUGGGGGUGAAAUCCCAGGGCUUAACCCUGGAACUGCCUUCAAUACUGUCAGUCUUGAGAUUGGAGGAGGUGAGUGGAAUUCCUAGUGUAGAGGUGAAAUUCAUAGAUAUUAGGAGGAACACCAGUGGCGAAGGCGGCUCACUGGUCCAAUACUGACGCUGAGGUACGAAAGCGUGGGGAGCAAACAGGAUUAGAUACCCUAGUAGUCC